Long non-coding RNA from Mus musculus (house mouse), 3427 nucleotides. RefSeq annotates it as predicted gene, 54238. Lineage: Eukaryota; Metazoa; Chordata; Mammalia; Rodentia; Muridae. The transcript has 3 exons. The record is from RefSeq and is a predicted model, not a curated record.
GGGCCUCUUCUUGGCCACCUGCUGUUCUGUGUCCUGUUUCUCUAUAAAUGUUUGAUGCCAUGCCAAUUUGUUUGGUUUUUCUUAAUAGGUCUGUGUAUCAUUUUUGAGAUAAACUCAGUGUAAACUAUAAGGCAAAGACAUGUUCGAAUUUAAUCUACAUAUAACACCCAGCAUGGAGAGAAUCAGAAACCAAGAGCAUGGUGUACUCAGUCUAACCCACAGGUUAUGGGCCAGAGCUUCAUAAUGAAAUAGUGAAAUGAGAAUGUAUGUUUUUUAUCAAGGAGUUCAUUGUCCUUUCUGGUACACUACACCACCCAGUGCCUAAUCUGUCUAAAGUAUGAGUGUCUAUUAAUAACUGUUCUACUAAUAAUGCAUAGUGGCUUUCACUAUGAAAAGCUUACUGGUAUUUUGAAUAAUCAAACAUUUCCAGGUAGACAUGGAGAAUGACUUUGGAGGCUUGCGAACAUCUUUUAUUAGCAGUAGAAGCUAUGAUAGAAAGGGAGAGCAUAUACCUGCACUAAGAACCUGUUAUUCCUCAGACACAUCCAUAGGCAUUCAACACACAAACACUUUGUGAAGCUUGUGUCAGCUUCACCUUACAAGGGGUCCAAGGUCAAAGAAACUAUUUCCACCACUAUUGUUGAGGCAGCAGGAUUUGCAGCUUCUUUGUGUAGCCCAUAAAUUCACAUGUCCUACCCUUUAGUUUGAAGAACAAAGUCUAUAGAAUUUCAUGCCUUAAACUCUCUCUGAAUUACUUAUAAGGCAAAGGUGUAAAGAGUGGUUCCUGUUCUUCCAGAGGACCAGAGUUUGAAUCCAAGCACCUAUGCCAGGAAACUUACAACCACAGGUCACUGUAGCUUCAAGAGCUCCAGCACCUCUCUUCUGGCUUCCCCUGUAUUCAAGCCACAGCACAAGUACACACUCCACACACACCCACACCCACACACCCCACCCACACCCCACACAAAAACUGCAUGUAUUAUUCCUGUCUGCCACAUGUUUUAUUCCUGUCCCUAGCUGCCUAAGGUUGAGGAAGGGAGUCUGGGGCCCUAGUUUGCCUAGAAUACUGCCUGUAAUAAAAUGAAACCAAAGGCUAUUAGGGUCCCUCUCCUCUGAAAGCAUUUAUUGAUCAAAUACAAAUUUUAACACAUUUUUAUGAUAAAAAAAUUCAAACAUCUUCUAGGUACAGAAAUUGGUAUAAAGAAAAGCUGGUUACCCUAAACUUGACCUAAUCUUAUACUGUGUAAGACAGGACGUGAACUAUGACCUGUUUAUAACGUAUAGAGUAACUGCAUAAUACAUACUGGACUUUUUUUGUUUUUUUUUAAUCUCCUAAGCUCAGUUCUUACUCUAGUACACAGUAGAUGUUUUGUCUUCUAAUGCAAAGUCUUCACAGGUUAUCAGUAGUCACCUUUUAAAAACUACAGUAGUUAAGAUCAUGGCAAAUUAGCUAUUGGAACAAGAUAAAGCAGAGAUAUUAGAAGAUCACCUUGGAAAUAAAGCAGUCAGGAGAUGAAUGUGCAACUGUGAAGGUCAAGAGGAUAAAAUCAAAGACCGUUGGGAGCCAUGUGGUUCCUAUGAGGGCACAUGUCUGGCUCUGGCUAAGACUGGCAAAGGCAUCACAGUGAGAACUGUCCUUGGAUAUGCAGUGUCUGCCCAGGUUAGCAUAGUUCAUGUUCUGAAGGACAUGGACAUCAAAGAAAAGGACUGUACUGUAACUUUUCAAUUGUCAAAACAACUGUUUGGUAAACAGACCCAGACUUAUAAAAGACAGAACAUAACCAAAUAUCUGCCUUACAAUUUGCAAUGUAUUGUACUUCAAUGUGUGUAGGAUGUUGGUCUACCUCGGAUAAUCCUUUAAGGGGGUUGUCUGUUUUGAACAGGCCCUAAAGGAGCAACGUGUCUCCCUUCCUUAACAGGUUUAAAAUGAUAUUUUGAUAUAAAUACACAUGAGCUGGGGUUAUGGCUCAGAGUCAGCCCCAGCGUGCUUGCCUAGCAUGAACAAAGCCUUCAUUCAAUCUCCAGCACUAUUAAAAAUUAUAUAUACAUAUUUUUAAACUAUUGAAAAGCCUGCAAACAAGCAGAUGUGAGUGUAAAAAUUAGAAAUUUCUAGGGUAAUUUUGUUAGUAAACCAGGGAAGCUUGGUCAAAUAUGUCUUCUGAUAUGGUCAUGUGAGACUUAGACAAGCACAGUGCUUCUGGCCCAUCUUAUUUAUGAAUAUAGAGAGCUUCUACUAUGCACAUGCAGCCUUCAUUCUGGAUUUCACAUGGGCAGAAGUCUAUUUUCCCAUGAUCAGUUUAUUGAUCCCUCUUGCCUCAGAGCUGAGUAUAUUUCCCUGGCUCAUAUUCCUCAGAAGAAGUCAUGGGAGGAGAAGCUUUUCUUUAAGAGAACUGUCUUAGACCUCUGGGUGGGGGGUUCUGCAUUUAUGUAUAUCAUGAAAGAAGAAAAGACAAGACUUUAAACUGGCCCUUGAAUUCACUCUUGUCCUAAACAAAUCAAUCCUUUAUGUAAUUUGUUUGUAUGUAACCUUGUGUGUGCUCUCUUUGUCAAGCAGGAGGCAGGGCUGACACAGCGACCUCCUCAUGUGGAAUCACCCGGAACCAUUUCUGUUCCAGCUCUUCUGUUUUUUGGCAAGUGCAUUUUUUCAGGUCUCACAGGCAGGAGGCUGCAGGGUUACUAUUCACAGGCAGGCUUCAUCUAUCUAAGAACCUGCUGGGCAUCUUCUCCCCCAAGGGACGUCUCCCAGGAUGUCCUUGCAGUGCAGAGAGGCUCUGGGUUCCUGGACCCAAGAUAUAAUGGCUCUACAAGUGUUGGUGAGCUGAACCCAUGAGGCCUGUGACUGCAGCAGAAGGUCCAUACGUCUAGUUUGAUUUAACAGCUCCCACGUGAUCCUCUGCUACAGCUGGAAGACAGUGUCACCACGCCUUCCCCAUGUGAUGGGUGUAGCCCUGAAAUGUGAGCCCAGGCAAGUUCUUGGAGCAAUUAUUAGCUCCUUUGUUGUAGGCAUUUUGUCAGAAUGAUGAAAAAAGUUUGUUUUGCAGCAAAUUAAACCAGUUCCUGGUGCCCGGUGUACAGCUAUUGCUUUAGCAAAUACUUCCCUGCUCCAUCUAUGUCUGCAAGUCCCACCAGGAUCAAUCUGCUUUCUCCUGGCAAGGACAGCACUGCAGCAUUACUGUUGCACCUCAAGGCUAUUUUAACUGACUCUCCCUGUGCCAAAAGUUAGUUCUGAGGUGCAUUAAUCACACGUCUGUUUCCUAAUGUUUCACACUUGUCUGUUACAUUGAUGAUGUCAUGCCGUUGAACCAAACACUCUGGACUUGUGGAUAAAUUGUUUGUGUCCCAUAGAAUAGGAAAUAAACCCAAGAAUAAAAAAAAAAAUUAAAAAGUGGGCUUCUAUGUCAGUAAAAUUCCUAGUUGUUCAGUGAUG